AGUGAACGCUGGCGGUAGGCCUAACACAUGCAAGUCGAACGGCAGCACAGUAAUAGCUUGCUCUUACGGGUGGCGAGUGGCGGACGGGUGAGGAAUACAUCGGAAUCUACUUUUUCGUGGGGGAUAACGUAGGGAAACUUACGCUAAUACCGCAUACGACCUACGGGUGAAAGCAGGGGAUCUUCGGACCUUGCGCGAUUGAAUGAGCCGAUGUCGGAUUAGCUAGUUGGCGGGGUAAAGGCCCACCAAGGCGACGAUCCGUAGCUGGUCUGAGAGGAUGAUCAGCCACACUGGAACUGAGACACGGUCCAGACUCCUACGGGAGGCAGAAGUGGGGAAUAUUGGAAAAUGGGCGCAAGCCUGAUCCAGCCAUACCGCGUGGGUGAAGAAGGCCUUCGGGUUGUAAAGCCCUUUUGUUGGGAAAGAAAAGCAGCAGGUUAAUACCCCGCUGUUCUGACGGUACCCAAAGAAUAAGCACCGGCUAACUUCGUG
This 492-nucleotide ribosomal RNA is filed under the name uncultured bacterium. Its description in RNAcentral is "partial 16S ribosomal RNA". It matches the Rfam family "Bacterial small subunit ribosomal RNA", at positions 29 to 507 of the family's 1533-position model. The record is from RNAcentral.